CAUCGGAAGCAGUAAUAGUUCUGGAGACUGUAGUCGCAUUAUCUUACAUACGUAUGAUGCGUGAGUGUGUCAUAUAUACGUACGUUUGUGCUUGUGCUGUCGAGCGCUUUUAAUUGUAUACAACAUUUUUAUAUGAGUAGCUGGUGAUUCAAGAUCUAUUUUUUGACCUAUAUAAGAGAGAGAUUUGCAGAAGAAAAGAAAUAUACCAAAGUAUUAAUAAGGAUCAAACAUAUUCUUGAUGUAUGUACUCGGGUCGCGAGGCUGAGCAAUAUUCUAAGGAAAGUAUUAUACAAUUGAAUCGUUUUAUAUUGUGCGCAACGCUCAUCGCGACAGCCAUGAUGUACAUGAUUAUCUUACAUACGAUGCGUGAGUACGUAUACACGUGUGUCAAUCGAGGAGUGCAGAGUGCUCUUUAUUUACAGCAUAUUUAUAUAUAAUAGCUGGUGAUGUAGGAUUUAUUUUCCAAUUUACAAGAGAAAUUUACAAAAAAGAGGAAAUAUCAAUUAAUUUUUUUACGUUCUAUAAU
Molecule: long non-coding RNA, 526 nt
Organism: Temnothorax curvispinosus
Lineage: Eukaryota; Metazoa; Arthropoda; Insecta; Hymenoptera; Formicidae
Exons: 3
Source: RefSeq, a predicted model, not a curated record